This 488-nucleotide small RNA is filed under the name Drosophila mojavensis. RNAcentral's name for it is "GI25587". The record is from RNAcentral. Lineage: Eukaryota; Metazoa; Arthropoda; Insecta; Diptera; Drosophilidae.
UCGUGCGCAACAGACGUCGCUUUCUGCAGGCGCAUAUACCAGCAUAUUAUCCCCAACUGUAUAAACUGUACAAACUGUCCAAACUGUGUGUAAACUGUUUGCCUAAUGCAAAUUCAACAAGCUGCACCUACCAUUUCCUCUAAUAAGCCAACUCGCUGAGCUGUUUGUACAAAUUUACAGCUUCAAGCUAAACCAAAAAAAAAUUUGUAUAACGUAGAGAGAAAUCAUCAGAAAUCAAAAACCAAAUAACCAUAAGAAAUAACCAUAACAAAAACUGUAUUGAAAAAAAAGCAAACAAACAAACCAAACAUAACUGUAAAUUGGUAUAUACAAACGAGCCUGUUGCAGCAAACAGUAAACAAACAAACAAACAAACAACAGCAAUAACAAACGCCGCUAGUAGUUUCCUUUUGUGGCACAAGCGAAAAUUACAUUUUGCAUAGUAGACUUUUAGGCGUCGCACUCAAUUUAGUUGAAAAGCAACAACA